RNAcentral lists this microRNA precursor (78 nucleotides) under Schistosoma mattheei. RNAcentral's name for it is "mir-3492 microRNA precursor family". It matches the Rfam family "mir-3492 microRNA precursor family". Lineage: Eukaryota; Metazoa; Platyhelminthes; Trematoda; Strigeidida; Schistosomatidae. The record is from Rfam by way of RNAcentral.
GAUUUUUUGAAUCCAUGAGAAGAUUUCAUCGAACACUAGCCCAUGAAGACUGAUGAAACUCCAAAGAUAACUGAAGUG